UGAGUAAUGCUUAGGAAUCUGCCUAUUAGUGGGGGACACCCUUCCAAAAGGAAUGCUAAUACCGCAUACGUCCUACGGGAGAAAGCAGGGGAUCUUCGGACCUUGCGCUAAUAGAUGAGCCUAAGUCGGAUUAGCUAGUUGGUGGGGUAAAGGCCUACCAAGGCGACGAUCUGUAGCGGGUCUGAGAGGAUGAUCCGCCACACUGGGACUGAGACACGGCCCAGACUCCUACGGGAGGCAGCAGUGGGGAAUAUUGGACAAUGGGGGGAACCCUGAUCCAGCCAUGCCGCGUGUGUGAAGAAGGCCUUAUGGUUGUAAAGCACUUUAAGCGAGGAGGAGGCUACUGAGAUUAAUACUCUUGGAUAGUGGACGUUACUCGCAGAAUAAGCACCGGCUAACUCUGUGCCAGCAGCCGCGGUAAUACAGAGGGUGCGAGCGUUAAUCGGAUUUACUGGGCGUAAAGCGUGCGUAGGCGGCUUUUUAAGUCGGAUGUGAAAUCCCCGAGCUUAACUUGGGAAUUGCAUUCGAUACUGGGAAGCU
This 540-nucleotide ribosomal RNA is filed under the name Kluyvera sp. RNAcentral describes it as "bacterial SSU rRNA". It matches the Rfam family "Bacterial small subunit ribosomal RNA", at positions 107 to 642 of the family's 1533-position model. Lineage: Bacteria; Pseudomonadati; Pseudomonadota; Gammaproteobacteria; Enterobacterales; Enterobacteriaceae. The record is from RNAcentral.